Molecule: long non-coding RNA, 1091 nt
Organism: Homo sapiens (human)
Lineage: Eukaryota; Metazoa; Chordata; Mammalia; Primates; Hominidae
Source: Ensembl
UUGUAGGCGCUGCUGCUGCCCGCCGGCGACGUAGCGCUCUUGGGCAGCGGCUGCAGCGGGUGCUCCGGCCGCUCGGCCUCCAUGGCGAAGCUGACGGGCCGCAGGAAGCAGAUGUCCAGGCUGGACUCGGAGGAGGCAGGCGAGCAGUUCUCGAAGAGGGCCGGAGCCUGGAACGGCUCCUCGUCGUAGGGCGCGGGCAGCGCGAAGAUCUCGCCGCCGUACUCGAACUCUUCGUAGGCCGCGGGCACGAAGCCGCGGGCAUCGGGCAGGAGCUCGGCCGGGGCGCGCAGGGAGCGCUCCACGUUGCCCAGCGGCUCCGCCGGAGAGGACUCGAAGUCCAUCUCCGGGAUGGCCUGCAGGGGCCCGGCCAGCGCCUUCACGUCCUGCUCGGCCGCGCAGAACUGCGUCGGUGCCAGAAGGCUCUCGGGCCGCUCGUGCUUCCUGCCCUCCAGCUCCCAGUCACUGGGCUUCCCGGGCUGCAUGCUCUCCAUCAGGCUUUGCUGCUGUUGGCUUUUCUUCACUGGGGGCAUCAGAUGUCUUUAGGGGGAAAACAGAGUACAAAAGAGCUGUGCUUACGGCCGGUUAGUGCAGGCCUCUCGCCUGCCGGCGCCCCUCGGGGCCGCGCUCCGAGGCGCCUGUGCAUGCCACCUCCCGAGCUCCACAAACUUCCACUAAGGCGCUCCCACGAACCCCCGUUCCCAGGCGGAGAGUGGACAAGGCAGUCCGUCGAGCGGAGGCCCGAAGGUAUUGUCUGAGCUUCUGGGAAAUGGCCUGCGGGCCAGGGACUGUCAUCACCCCGCGUGGAAGCCCUGACCCUCCUCACCACCUGCGGUGCUCCAAGGCACACCUUCAACUCUCUUCUCUCCCUUGCUUGCCCUAGCAGAGUCAUACGGAAUAAUGGAAAACUCAACUUCUGUUCGACUUGUGGAUCUUCACACUCAGAAACAAAUUACGUUCCUAGAUAAAGUAAACGUGGCAUGAUCUUGAUAACUGUUGAAUCUGGAUGAGGGCAUGUGGAGUUCACUGAACUCUUCUAUGUAAAUUUGAAAUUUUCAUAAUAAAAAUUUUAAAAUAUUCCUUGUCACUGUAAA